Molecule: ribosomal RNA, 498 nt
Filed under: Hyphomonas sp. Ar-130
Lineage: Bacteria; Pseudomonadati; Pseudomonadota; Alphaproteobacteria; Hyphomonadales; Hyphomonadaceae
Description: bacterial SSU rRNA
Rfam family: Bacterial small subunit ribosomal RNA
Source: RNAcentral
UAGUGGCAGACGGGUGAGUAACGCGUGGGAACGUACCUUUCACUACGGAAUAGCUCUUGGAAACGAGUGGUAAUACCGUAUACGCCCUUCGGGGGAAAGAUUUAUCGGUGAAAGAUCGGCCCGCGUUAGAUUAGCUAGUUGGUAGGGUAAUGGCCUACCAAGGCGACGAUCUAUAGCUGGUCUGAGAGGAUGAUCAGCCACACUGGGACUGAGACACGGCCCAGACUCCUACGGGAGGCAGCAGUGGGGAAUCUUGCACAAUGGGCGAAAGCCUGAUGCAGCCAUGCCGCGUGAAUGAUGAAGGCCUUAGGGUUGUAAAAUUCUUUCGCUAGGGAUGAUAAUGACAGUACCUAGUAAAGAAGCCCCGGCUAACUUCGUGCCAGCAGCCGCGGUAAUACGAAGGGGGCUAGCGUUGUUCGGAAUUACUGGGCGUAAAGCGCACGUAGGCGGACUUUUAAGUCAGAUGUGAAAUCCCGGGGCUCAACCUCGGAACUGCAU